AGAAUGCGUGUACUUUUCGUGCAGUCAGCUUAUCCGUAUCUUGUAUCUGUGUGUUGUGUAUCAUUGUGUAUGUGUGCAAAGGAAAGUGUAUGUAUGUUCAUGUGAUUUGCGUUUGUUUUGGAAGGUAGCAUAAUUUCGUAGGGUAUAUUCUUCAUAGUUCAAUGAAAACUGCGAGCGCAACGAAGAUGGAGGUGGCGAAACGCUGAUUAAUUCGGCAAUUCUACACAAUUUGGAAAGUUCCACCGGUUACCCAUGCCCAUGGUGGAGGGAUUCACUGUGACAAGUUGGAAGUGUGUCAUGGAUCGGACCCUGGCUGUGUAGCGGGAACGAAGGGGCUACACCACUGACCAGUAGAGCCAAGGUUUCGUUUUGUUCCAAAGACCGCUACGAUAAUGUGGAACGUACAGCAGACGAAAGAAGCCAGCCGAAUGAGGUCAGCGAAGCAGCAGAUAUAUAUGCUUAGCUGAUAGGUUUCAGCUUGCCCGGCCGAGCUGUAGUCCAUCAGACUUCAGCUAGUCGAAAACAUGCUAAGUCGUGUUCUAAAUUGAACUAUCGGGUUCCUUUCCCCGCAGCUAUUUUAGGUGGAUUGGGUAAACGCACCCAUUUUGUACAUGUUUUACUGUAAUUUCGACCUUGAGCGGCACUUCGAUACUGGACCUUGUUAUUAGAACGCCCUAUCGCGAUGCCGAUUGGCCAGAGUUGCCGCACCCGGCAGUUAGAUGCGAUAUUAUAUGACUACUAGGCACUUAGGAUAUGACUACUAGGCAC
Molecule: long non-coding RNA, 768 nt
Organism: Priapulus caudatus
Lineage: Eukaryota; Metazoa; Priapulida; Priapulimorpha; Priapulimorphida; Priapulidae
Exons: 2
Source: RefSeq, a predicted model, not a curated record